GAAAUAAAUAUAGUAGUGUUCUACCUGUGGUAAAGUUAGUUGAAACAUAAUUUUUUAUUUACCUUUGCUGUUGGAUUUGCAUUGCCAUGAGGAGGGGCUGAGGACUGGUUUCCAUUCCUAUGUCAGAACCCCCAUAAAAGGUAUGGGAGGUAGGUUCCAGUUCUUAGCUGAGAACUAAGAUGAGAAGUGUAAACAACAGAAAUUAAUAAAUUAAAAAAAAUAGAUACUACAGUGAGCUGAAGUAGGACAAUCUUCUGUUCAUCAUGUUUUUACAGCAGUUUAUGGAGAAGGAAUUAAAUUCUCCUCAGCAAUGUAGCUACUAAAAACUAGGAGAAUCUGAUAUUCUUGAAAAUUAUCACUGCAAGCUAUUACAAAAUCAGUAUAUAGUUGAGGAAGCACUUCAUCACUUUGAGGUUACUACAAGAAGCAACUGCAAAGCAUUGCAAUUCCCUUAACAAGGUACUUGCAACUUCUGCAAAACAAAGCAAUUGAAUAAUUUCUGUUGAUCAAGGCGAGCUUAUCUCUGCCAAGGCUGUUUCAUUAUGGAUUUAUCCAGUCAGUGCUCCACUUUUUCUUGAAGCAACACUGGAAAGAGCCAUAAACUCCUUAAACUCAUGUACUUCCCAGUUACAGAAGGACAAGGCUGUCAGAAGGCAUGAGGCAGUUUUUAAAUUAAGGAGAACUCUGUGCGUAAUACCAUAAUGGGGAGCAUCCCAAUCUUGAGAGAUCACCUCCAAAAUGUUAAGAGCCUCCUAAAUAUGGUACACGCUAAUUACUCCAUAGACUAAAGCAUCUGAUCAUAAUUUUGUGUGAUGAUGGAAUGGAAAGAAAUAGUUGUUAGGAGUUUGUCUGUCUCUGUGUUUUACUCCUUUCUGUUGUUCUGUUCAUGCUGAAUUUCCCUCCUCAUUUUAAUGGGUGUAUCAUAAUAUACCUUGUAAUUCCUCAAGCAGAGUUAUCAGGAUACAAAUGAUUCCUCAGCUCUUCUAACUGCACUUCUAGGUAUCAGUGUAGCUUUUCCUAUUGUCCUGAAUUUAUUGGGCAAGUAAAAUGCGGGAAGUGUUCGUUAUUUGACAUAAUAGCGGCACCAUGUGGCUUGUGCUUGACUUUGCAUUGCAACAUCUAAAAUCCUACAGUAAAAUCCCACCAACUCCCUGGGAUGCUUAUUAUUAUAACACGCAUGAAAAUAACUUAUUUUAGCUCAUUAAGGGUAGCUGAUUUUGUUUUAGAAACCUUAAUUCUCUGCAUAUGAGAUAGAGUGUAUUCGGGGCAAGAAUGUAACUCCAUCUUGAAAAAGUUAUUAAAAAAUGAAAUAGCUUUCACCCUCUGCUGUUAACCUUCACUUCUUUGUGUUUACUUAUUUUUGUUACUCACAGAAAGCCAUGAAACCAUCCCUGAGCUCAUAUACAGGCGACUGUAUGUCCAACAAUAUGGAUUACAAUUAAUCAAACUGACCUGGACCUCAAGAAGUACCUCAGAUAGGGCUUUGUGAACCUGGCCUCCUGAUAUUUAGAAACUUAAUAAAUAUUACUUUAAUUCAGUUCUGAAAAAAGGGCACUGCUAGUAAUUUCUGGAGGCUCUGUGCUCUGCUGGUGCAAGAGACUCUCAAUAAUGGGACAAUGUUUUGACCAUUUUCCAGUAUCACACCUGUGACACUUUUAAGGGUCACUGUCAUUCGUGGCAUUUUGAAAAAAUCCUACCACACUUGUCACAAAAGUGAGGCAGUGACACAGUAUCAAAGGAUGCCACUCUUUGCACUUAUUCCUCUAUUGUUUCAUUUAUCCUUUGUAAACCAACCCUUAUAACACUACAGUUUGUUUCACAGCCUAUGUAAUGAUAUUUCUUCAUUAGUAAAUCACUCCAGAGGUUACUGUUCUGAUUGGAAAGAAAUAAAAACAUUGAUGUGUUUCUGUUUUGCUAGCCACCAAAUUUUCAGCACUCGGGAGGGCUCAAUCAAAAAACAUCCCAGGUAAUGUAUUUUGUUCCAGCAGCACAGUCCUAUGCCUUGGCUGUUACAUUUAUAUAUUGGUAAUGCUGGAGGUACUUAUUUCAUAUGUCGCAUCCUGAUUUUGCACCCAUAUUUCAGGGAUUUGACUUACAUAUUGAAGCAACAACUGAACAGCCUCUGCUAGCUAACAUUAUUUCUCAGAUACAUUCAGAUGAGAAUAAGAAUUUCAGAGCAGCAAUUGAUAGUCCAUUUGUGGCUUGGAUGGAGGCAAGAAGCAAGAAUCCCAGAGCAAAAGUAAUAGAACAAAGAGAACAGAGAAAAUGGGUUGGUAAGUGUACAGAUGCAUAAAUGAGAAGAAAGAAGAUCCUUUUGUUUUUUCAUUUUUGACAGCUAUCUAUCAUAUUCUCCUUUCAUUCAGAAGAAUGAAACAGCAACAGAGUAGAGAUACUCAACUUGCUUCAAAUUGAGUCCAUUGAGUUCCUAGCAGGGCGUGGGCCCGGGCCGGCCCCAGAACGCAUGCGGCGCGGCGGCGCAGCCCAGCCGGCCCUGGGCGCGGAAAGGAGCGAGAGAGGGGGAGCUUCGCCUGUGUGGACAGCGCCAUCGUGGGAGAUGAGAGGGGAGCCCCGGAACACACAGAAGAGAAGGAUAACUCUAAACCCAGGCAGAUGGAGCUCGUCAGCCCUGUAAGGCCAUUCAUCUAAGAGAAGGUCACUCUAAACAAACCUACGUCCUGAGGACCUCGCUGCCACUGUCCAAGCUCGCUCAGCCCCAGCAGACGAACCUUAGGAUUAAAGGGUGGGCUCAGUUCAGCGCACACUGUGUCUCACCUAAAAAAUCCACUGCGCAGGCUCGAAGGCGUUACCUGCAUUUGCAAAGCCCUGUAGCACCCGCGUGCUUGUAACGAACGUGGGUAGAGACCUUUCCCGGAUCUUCGUUCGGGAAGACUGGCCAUGAUGAUGAUGAAAUGUGUGUGCAACAUGUAAGUGAUAAUUAGCAGACAGGCUGUCUAGGUUACUGCAAAAAUUGUUGGAACCUUAAAUGAAGAUUCUUAAACUGUCUAACAUAUAAAACUUCUUUCUUUAAAAAAAAAUUAUAUUAUGAUAAACUGAUUUACAGAUGGAUAUUUAUAUUCAUCCCAUAGACUUAACAGUUGCUUUGUAAUCUUCAAGUAUUUAAGAAUAGAAAAAAGUACUUUAAGGAUUUACCCUGUCAUCUAUGUUCUCUCUGAAAAUUUUCUGAUUAAUAACAAAACUGCAGAAGUAUUAUUUUUGCUUCCUUCAUAAUCUCAGAUAUUUUUGAACAUGUUACUAUGUGGAAAAAAAUAUCAAGCUAUGUAAACUGCCACCACAUCACCAAUUUGAUUGUAAAAGUAUAUACUACUGUAGUAGAUUGUAUUGCAUUAUAAUUAGAAGAAGCCUUUAUACUUGAAAAUACUAGUUAGUGGAGAGUACCUCAUAUUCAAGUCUGGAAUCCAGUUUUAGGAAAGCUAACAGUGAACUGAAUUGAAAGAGAUGGAUGUUUCAUCAGAAACUCAGUUCAGGAAAAGCACUGAAACAUUUUAGGCAGAAGCAGUUUUUCCGUUUAGAGACUUAAAAAACCCCACAUUUUCCCCCCUCCUUUUCUGAAGGAGGAAAAUAAAACUUCCUAAACUCUGGUAGCUUGGAAAAUUCUUGUCUUAAUUUAAGAAAUUUCUCUGCAAGAACUUUACUCAAUAGAAUAUACCUCAAAAAUAAGUAAAUGUAAAUAGCUGCUUAACAUAGUAUAAUUUUAUCUAUAGACACAUUUCCAUUUCACUGCAACAGUGGUUUAUGAGCAUUAAUAUAUUUCUUUAUCAGUAGUAAUACUCUGUUCAUAGACUCUUGCAGAGAACAGAUACUAAAGCUGUAAAAGAAUCUGUGAAGGACCAGGAAUCAGAAUGGGGAAAAUUUCAGUAGUGGAAAAAGAUGUACAGUGAUUGAAAGGACUUUAUGAUACAGACUUUACAGUUAUUAUGUAUAUACACAUUGUAUGCUUCCACAGAAUUUGUAUUUCCCGGCCAUGUUCAGGCUUGUCCGCUCCCCUGCUUUCCUGCGGAUUGGCUGGAGAAGCUGCAGAGAGGAGACAGCCUCCAUUUGCCCCUUCUCUCCCCAGUUCCUCCCACGUUCCUCCCUCUUUCGCCUGUGCCCCUAUGCUGAUUUGCUUCCCCGUUUGUCUGUCUCAUGCUCCACCCCAUGUCCUGGCCCUUUCCCCACCUAAAACUCGUAAAACCCCGACACACCUCAAUAAAGCAUCCAUUUUGCACCUCUACCUUGUCCCCGAACCCAUCCGUGCUGUGUCACGGCCCCAUUCCCCUACCCCCUCGGACCGUGGCAAGAACCCCUUUGUUGUAGGUAUAAAAAUGCUAAGAAAUGUCUUUCAAAAUAAGAACUCCUCUUCUUAAAUUUUUUUUUUCAGCUAGACUUCUACAUCUAGACAGGAAUGUCUGCUUUAAAGUGUAUUUUGGAAGCCAUGCAGCCCAAAGGACUAGGCUGUGAGGUAACUGCCGAAUUCAGGCUUCUGGUAAUCUUUCUGGUAGCAUUGUGGAAAAAGCUGUGUCAAAAGGAGUCUUGGAAUAUACAGACAAGUGUUCCCCUUCUAUUUUAUUAUAUCUUUUCUGGCUGUAGAUCUGUAAGGACAUUAACAGGCAUCACAUCAACUUCUGCAUCUUUCAAACGCUGAAGAGUAAAGAUAAUUUAGUCAUUUCUGCUUUAUUUGGUGAAAGAAAGCAAAGGUUAUAGCCUAAUUUCUAGAGUGAUGUGAGGGUAGUACAUCAUAAGGUGUAAACAAACAAACAAACCCCAAAAGUAAAGUUAUAAAUUAAUAUUGAGCUGCUGUGUCCAGACACACGCUGAAGCUUCUGUGCCUGAUCUAUUGCCCCCAACAGCACAAUGAUUUUUUUAUCAAGACUGUAUAGCAGUAAAUAUAAUUGCCUUAUUGAUUUCUCUCCCCUUAGAUAUCCAUGUGAGCAGCACUAGAGGAGAGCUGUGCUAAACACAGGCACAUCUGCAAUGUCUUGGAACUUAAGGUGACAUUUGUGGAUUUUCUUUGCAAUCCCGUUUCCAGGAUUUCCACUAUUAUAUCCUUUGCAGUACAACUAUCCGCAGCGUGCUGCAGUCAGGGCAGUGGGCCACACUUUGAGGUGUCCACCGUGUCCUAAAAUAGGGAAUGUCCACCUCUGUAAUGAAAUGAGCUUUGAGGCUUUAAGGUAAAGCAAAGUGCUGAUGGCAAAUAACCAGUGGCAUCUAACUGAACUUCAGGCUAUUGAAUUAAAUUGGAAGGAAUGUGACAGUAUUUCCUACUUUUGUUUUUCUACCCUGGCAGGCUUUUCUGGUCUUUCCAGCUCUGACAGAAAAUGUAGCUGCUAAUAGACACCACCUGCAUUACUUUGGAAGAACAUCCCCUUGGUGUUUUGAGCUAAAUUUGUGAUUUAAAAGAAGUAAUCCCAAGCCACAAUUUUCUUUAAAAAAAAAAAAAAAGAGAAUAAGAAAGCACCAAAUCUUUCUGGAGGGUUAAUUAAACC
Pseudopipra pipra is the source of this 5483-nucleotide RNA transcript. It is a transcript of the gene named collagen alpha-2(VI) chain-like, with no coding region annotated. The transcript is spliced from 2 exons. The record is from RefSeq and is a predicted model, not a curated record. Lineage: Eukaryota; Metazoa; Chordata; Aves; Passeriformes; Pipridae.